UCCCUCUCAGGGUCGCACCUGGAGAGUCCCCGGUACUCUACCAGUCUCGACUACGGGAGGGAGAGUCAAGCAGAGGCCCGUCCGUUCCGUCCCUAGCCCGGCCGGUGGCUGGCGAGCGGAAGGCCGUCUGCCACAGGU
This is a small nucleolar RNA of Ornithorhynchus anatinus (platypus), 138 nucleotides long. The record is from RefSeq and is a predicted model, not a curated record. Lineage: Eukaryota; Metazoa; Chordata; Mammalia; Monotremata; Ornithorhynchidae.